UGCAUGGUGAAGCCUAUUUCCUAUGCCAA
This 29-nucleotide non-coding RNA is filed under the name Rattus norvegicus (Norway rat). The record is from RNAcentral. Lineage: Eukaryota; Metazoa; Chordata; Mammalia; Rodentia; Muridae.